CGAUCUAACUUCUAGAUAAAACCCUAUCCAUUUGACAUCUAAAUGUCAUACCUACUUUUGGUAUAGUUUGCUAUUGGUAAAAUAUAUAUAGAGAGAACUAUAUAUCAAGGGAAGGCGAGCAAAUGGUUUUGGAUCUGACAGUCCACCUCAUAUUCUUCUCAAAAUCGCUUCAGAAGUACCUAAACAGUGGGAGAUUAAGUUUGAGUUUUCCUUUGUGUAUGGAGUGGACCCAAACCUACGCAGAUCUGUUUUAUUGGCAUGGGAACGUGAGAUUAAAAGAGAAACUUGACUGUCUAUUGGGGGAAGAAAAAAAAACCUGCAUUGAACAAUGAAGUUAGUUGCUUUGCAGGAGGCAAACACUCAGACAUUUGAUUAGAAAGUUACGCAAAAUGUGUAUCAGAAUAAAACCAGGAACAUCUGGGAUGAUUUGCGCAGCAUGCGGAAUCUGGGCUUUGAAGUAUGAAUUCCUGAUAAUUAAAUGAUUUCCAGAACCUUGUGCUCCAGGACUGCGGUGGACUGCCCUCCUUGAAGAAACCACCCACGUAAUAAUGACCCCGGAGAGCAAAACAAAACCCAACUGGCUUCAAUGCAAACUUCGCCAAAUGACUGGGCUCGCCUGAAGACAGGCAAACUGGCAGGAUAAUUCUGCUCUGGAGGGGUGAAAAAUAAAAUAUAUCCGCGGCAAUAACCCACAUAGGGUUUGGCUGGUUAUUAUUUUUUUAAGGCAGUAGCUAAAAGACACCGUGACCAAAGUCCAAAGCAGCCUUGGUUCCAAGUCAGAUAUCUACUAUAUCCAGCUUCCGUGAUGAGAUGAGAGAGAGAGAAAGAAAGAAAGAAAGAAGCCAUUUAACAGUUACGCCUAAUUCCACGCGGUCUGCUUUAUUCCAGUAUUUCUGUUACGCACAUAUUUCUAGAACUGCGUACAUCUCCCACUUGAAAAAUAUGGUGGUUUAUUGCGCACAUUGGAAAUGUUAAAGAGAGAGAGCGAGAGAGAGACGCUAGCAAGUGCUUAAAAUUAGUUACCAUUGUUUUGCAUUGUUGAUUUUCCUGAGUUUAAUUGGCUUAAUUUAUUUUAUGUGUGCUUUGAUGUUAAACAUUAUUUGAUGCUAAUGAAAUAGUCACAGUCCACAAUAAAGCAUUCGAAAGGGUGGGGAGGGGACAACAAACCCCAAACCAUGGCAAAAUAUCUUGUGUCCUUGGUAAAGGGUCAGAUUAGUCACACGAAUCUAUAUAUAAUAUAUAGAUAGGGUUUUUUUUUUUAAUUGUUUCUUGCUUCUCUGCUUUUACCUU
This is a long non-coding RNA of Gopherus flavomarginatus (Mexican gopher tortoise), 1290 nucleotides long. RefSeq lists it as uncharacterized. NCBI's taxonomy places the organism in Eukaryota, Metazoa, Chordata, Testudines, Testudinidae. The record is from RefSeq and is a predicted model, not a curated record. The transcript has 4 exons.